CUCUUCCACUCCUUCCAGGUUUCAUCUUCUCCAAGAUCUCCAGAACUUCAUUGAAGGAAAAGGGCCAAAACCCCCACCUUCAAAAAGAGUCACCAAUAUUGAAAGGAUUAUCAAAGGGAGAGAGGAUGAACUCAGAGCAAUUCAAGCAAAAGCCAAGGUGGAAAAAUCCAAAGAUUAGGAAUCUCUGCUUCCAUAAUAGCCUUUGAGCAAAACAGAAUACCUUGUAGCAGACAGUUCCAGAGUUGUCCAAAUAAGGCUGGGAAGACAAACUGGCAAACCAGCCUAGAAGAACCCAAGCAGAGUCCAAGAACUGAACAAAAGCCUCAAGACUGCUUCAUUCCUCCUGCAGUGCCCUGACUGGUAGAUG
RNAcentral lists this long non-coding RNA (367 nucleotides) under Naja naja (Indian cobra). Its description in RNAcentral is "lncRNA (ENSNNAG00000006327.1)". Lineage: Eukaryota; Metazoa; Chordata; Lepidosauria; Squamata; Elapidae. The record is from RNAcentral.